RNAcentral lists this ribosomal RNA (186 nucleotides) under uncultured bacterium. Its description in RNAcentral is "partial 16S ribosomal RNA". It matches the Rfam family "Bacterial small subunit ribosomal RNA", at positions 338 to 524 of the family's 1533-position model. The record is from RNAcentral.
CCUACGGGAGGCAGCAGUAAGGAAUAUUGCGCAAUGGGCGAAAGCCUGACGCAGCGACGCCGCGUGGGGGAUGAAGGUCUUCGGAUUGUAAACCCCUUUCGGGAGGGAAGAUGGGAUGGGGUAACCCAUUCGGACGGUACCUCCAGAAGCAGCCACGGCUAACUUCGUGCCAGCAGCCGCGGUAAU